Molecule: long non-coding RNA, 1956 nt
Organism: Neofelis nebulosa (Clouded leopard)
Lineage: Eukaryota; Metazoa; Chordata; Mammalia; Carnivora; Felidae
Exons: 2
Source: RefSeq, a predicted model, not a curated record
UGUGAUGAAAGUUAGCAACCAAAGGGGAGUGUGGAGCCCAAGGGAGGCUUGUUCCUGUUUGAAAUGAGCGUGAGAGAAACUUGUAGACCAAGAGAUUAAAAAUGCUUGAGUAGGAAGAAAAUAAGGGUGAGAGUGUAGCUUAAGGGCUGGAGCUGGGAAAGAGUGAGGGUGCUGUAGUCAGAAAGACGUGGGUUCAAGUCCUAGCUCUGUCACCAUCUAGCUGUGUGACCUCAGGCAAGUGAUGCUACCCCUCUGAGCCUCACCACCCUCAUCUGUAAAAUGGGGCGGCGGGGGAGGGGAUGUUAAAGCAAAGGUGAAGAUGAUAGGCCAAAGGUCAGAGCUGAAUGGGGAUCAAAGGGAGAGAUGGGUUAACUUUUCCCAGAUGGUUUUAAUUUUUUUGUCUGUGAUAUAGGAUCCUUUGAGAGGGAGGACGGUGAAUUCGAACUUCAGAGAGGAGAGGUCUAGAAUCCCUAGAAGAAAAUAGCUUACCUAAAUUUUCUUUUUCUUUCUUUCAUUCUUUUUUUUUUUUUUUAACUUACCUAAUUUUCAGUUCACUUGCCAAAACCAGUGUAUCUGUUGCUCUCCCUACACACCUUCUCACCUCUACCCCCUUCCCUACUGGGAAGAUGGACCCAUCCUUCCCUGGAUUCAUACCCCUCAUUGCCUUUCUGAGAACUUCUGGUCCCCUUGCCUCCUCCCUUGUUCUCCCUGCCCUCCUCCACACUUCUGCCUGGGGGCUCUCCUGAUCAGCAAAGUUUAGAACAGACCCUUUUGUAGGGGCCCACUUCUUACAGUCUCUGUCCACCUUCCUUGGACUGUUAGUGUUCUGAUGAAUUCUCCAUGCCCUUCCUUGUCCCAGCUGGUGCAGAAGUUCUGCAUUUCUAGUAGAAAUACCAUGGUUCAUUUAUUCCUUCCCCUAUUAACAGAUACUUAGGUUGUUUCCAGUUUUCGUUCCUGUAAGCAAGACUCCUUGAACAUCCUUGUGGUUGUCUCCUUGGUCAAUUGGCAGAUGUGUCUGUGGGGUAGAGACUGAGUUGAAUUGCUGGGUCUUUGAGUCGGCAUGGCUUUACUUUGUAAUGGAUGAUGCCAUAUUGCUAAGUGCCUGUAUAUUCUUAUUUUCCUUUUAUUUUUAGGUUAAUUAUAAUUCACAACACAUUGCUUGCAACUGGCAUUUAAUACUCAGCAUUGUAUCUUAGAUAUCCUUAUCUCAGAAUGUAAAGAUUCUCAUUCCUUUUUAUAGAUGUAAGUUUUUUUGAAGUUAUCCCUUACUAAUGGAGAUUUAAGAUGUUUGUAAUCUUUUGCUGUAAGAAUAAUGCUAUAGUGAAUAACUUUUUAGUUUUGUCCUUAUAUCCUUUCAUAAUACAUAUGCCUCUAUCCGUAGGAUAAAUUCCUAGAAGUAGAAUUUCUGGGCCAGUUAUGUGUGUCUAUGUAAUUUUUAAAAAUUGACGUGUGGGGUGCCUGGGUGGCUCGGUAGGGUAAGAGUCCGAGUCUUGAUUUCAGCUCAGGUUAUGAUCUCACGGUUUGUAAGUAUGUGUGCUCUCUCGCUCUCUCUCUCAAAAUAAAUAAACCUAAAAAAUAAAAACCUCACAGUGAAAUGCACAUGACGUAAAAUUAACCACUUUAUUGUUCUUUAGUUUUUUUUCUGAGUCUCUUCAUUUAAUUAGUCUUUGCACCCAGUGUGGGGCUCAAACUUGUGGUCCUACAAUCAAGAAUUGCAUGCUCUUCUGACUGAGCCAGCCAGGGGCCCCAGAUUAACCAUUUUAAAGUGAACAGUUCAGUGCCAUCACAACCUUUGUCUAGUUCUGAAACACUUGUGUUACUCCAAAAUAAAACCCUGCACCUGUUAAGCAGUCACUUCCCUUUCUUCUCUCCUCCUGCCCCUGGCAACCAGUAAUCUGUAUUUCAUUUCUAUGGAUUUAAGUAUUCUGGAUAUUUCAUAUAAAUGUAAUCAUACAA